Syzygium oleosum is the source of this 889-nucleotide long non-coding RNA. RefSeq lists it as uncharacterized. NCBI's taxonomy places the organism in Eukaryota, Viridiplantae, Streptophyta, Magnoliopsida, Myrtales, Myrtaceae. The transcript is spliced from 2 exons. The record is from RefSeq and is a predicted model, not a curated record.
UCUCUCUUCUGUUAAAAAUAGUUCCUCCAAACGUUGCAGGGAAAUAUUCGCAGAAACAACCUGGGACACAAAAGUAAGAUUGGAAACUAAAAGAUGACGAACAAAUGUUUGCAAGCACAGUUAUGAUAAAAUUGCGUGAGAAAGCAAAGUUUUAUAUUGUCAAUGUGCAUGAUCACCAUUAUAAAUGAACAUAACCGUAGUUAGUGAAGUUCCGAAGAUAGAAAGAACCUGAGACAUCAAGCUAGGGAGCAUGUCCAAAGGAAACCAUAGCACUGCAAAAAGAGAAAGUGACGUAAACGCCCUCGCUGGUGUCAAAUCCCCACCAAGCAAAGUGAAUGUCCCAAAUGAGACAACGGUUACGAUGACAGGGAUGCUGUUCAGAACAAAGCUGUUGAACUGCCACCAAAAUUGAACUCUCAGACAAAAAGAAAACCAUCUAGCAUUAUGGAAGGAGAAAAUGUCAUGUCCAUUAGCUCUCAUGCGCGCCUGACAAAAGGGGUCUAAAUCCAUUCGUCUACUGCUACUUGAGAAACAAAUGGAGACUAUUUUCAUUGCACUGUAAUAAGUCUGCUGAUGCGAAAACAGCCAGUAUAAGUCUAUGACUACUCAGCUUACAUGCAAUGGGGAACAGAGUUCAGACCAGAUGGAUAAUUUUAAACAGUAAACCAACCAUCUUUCUCGACUUUACACUAACUUAUUCUCAUGAUGUAUGAAAAGAAAUAGAGAAUUUGAAUUGCUUCAACAGGAGUACCUAUGAAAGAAUUACAACUGCUGUCUGCUUGGCAAGUUUACCACAGACAGAAAUUCAAGGCAGUUUGCUCCAUAGAUAGAGUGUUUUCACAAUUCUUUUUUAGCACAAGCAAUAUCAUGCCACUGAGGUUUUUUAAUC